CAAGCGGUGGAGCAUGUGGUUUAAUUCGACGCAACGCGAAGAACCUUACCUGGGCUCGAACGGCUUCUCAACGGCUUUGGAAACAGAGCUAUCCCGCAAGGGAGUGGAGUCGAGGUGCUGCAUGGCUGUCGUCAGCUCGUGUCGUGAGAUGUUGGGUUAAGUCCCGCAACGAGCGCAACCCUUGUCCUGUGUUGCCAAUAUUAAGUUAGGCACUCUCAGGAGACCGCCAGCGAUAAGCUGGAGGAAGGUGGGGAUGACGUCAAGUCAUCAUGGCCUUUAUGUCCAGGGCUACACACGUGCUACAAUGGGCGGUACAAACCGUUGCAAACCCGCGAGGGGGAGCUAAUCGGAAAAAACCGUUCUCAGUUCGGAUUGCAGGCUGCAACCCGCCUGCAUGAAGCUGGAAUCGCUAGUAAUGGUAUAUCAGAACGAUACCGUGAAUACGUUCCCGGGCCUUGUACACACC
RNAcentral lists this ribosomal RNA (466 nucleotides) under uncultured bacterium. Its description in RNAcentral is "bacterial SSU rRNA". It matches the Rfam family "Bacterial small subunit ribosomal RNA", at positions 926 to 1391 of the family's 1533-position model. The record is from RNAcentral.